RNAcentral lists this ribosomal RNA (485 nucleotides) under uncultured Planctomycetaceae bacterium. RNAcentral describes it as "bacterial SSU rRNA". It matches the Rfam family "Bacterial small subunit ribosomal RNA", at positions 523 to 1005 of the family's 1533-position model. Lineage: Bacteria; Pseudomonadati; Planctomycetota; Planctomycetia; Planctomycetales; Planctomycetaceae. The record is from RNAcentral.
AUACGGAGGGUGCGAGCGUUAAUCGGAAUUACUGGGCGUAAAGCGCACGCAGGCGGUCUGUUAAGCUAGAUGUGAAAGCCCCGCGCUCAACGUGGGAGGGUCAUUUAGAACUGGCAGACUAGAGUCUUGGAGAGGGGAGUGGAAUUCCAGGUGUAGCGGUGAAAUGCGUUGAUAUCUUGAGGAACACCGGUGGCGAAAGCGGCUCACUGGGUCUCUUCUGACGCUGAGGCACGAAAGCUAAGGUAGCAAACGGGAUUAGAUACCCCGGUAGUCUUAGCUGUAAACGAUGAGCACUUGAUUGGAGGGUCCUCCAUAGCCUUCCAGUCGUAGCGAAAGUGUUAAGUGCUCCGCCUGGGGAGUAUGGUCGCAAGGCUGAAACUCAAAGAAAUUGACGGGGGCUCACACAAGCGGUGGAGGAUGUGGCUUAAUUCGAGGCUACGCGAAGAACCUUAUCCUAGUCUUGACAUGUAUGGAUUAACCCUGUG